UACGGAGGGUGCAAGCAUUGAUCGGAAUUACUGGGCGUAAAGGGCGCGUAGGCGGCAAGAUAAGUCAGAUGUGAAAUUCCGGGGCUCAACCCCGGAGCUGCAUUUGAAACUAUUUUUCUAGAGUUCAGUUAGGGUAAACGGAAUUCCACGUGUAGCGGUGAAAUGCGUAGAUAUGUGGAAGAACACCGGUGGUGAAGACGGUUUACUGGGCUGAGACUGACGCUGAGGCGCGAAAGCAUGGGGAGCAAACAGG
Molecule: ribosomal RNA, 253 nt
Filed under: uncultured bacterium
Lineage: Bacteria
Description: partial 16S ribosomal RNA
Rfam family: Bacterial small subunit ribosomal RNA
Source: RNAcentral